Molecule: transfer RNA, 71 nt
Filed under: Marmota monax (woodchuck)
Lineage: Eukaryota; Metazoa; Chordata; Mammalia; Rodentia; Sciuridae
Description: tRNA.Ala
Rfam family: tRNA
About the family: Transfer RNA (tRNA) molecules are approximately 80 nucleotides in length. Their secondary structure includes four short double-helical elements and three loops (D, anti-codon, and T loops). Further hydrogen bonds mediate the characteristic L-shaped molecular structure. tRNAs have two regions of fundamental functional importance: the anti-codon, which is responsible for specific mRNA codon recognition, and the 3' end, to which the tRNAs corresponding amino acid is attached (by aminoacyl-tRNA synthetases). tRNAs cope with the degeneracy of the genetic code in two manners: having more than one tRNA (with a specific anti-codon) for a particular amino acid; and 'wobble' base-pairing, i.e. permitting non-standard base-pairing at the 3rd anti-codon position.
Source: RNAcentral
GGGGUUGUGGCUCAAGAGUAGAGUACUUGCCUAGCAUGCAUGAGGCACUAGGUUCUAUCCCCAGCACCACA